UUUGACACAUAAAGGUGGAAUUCUAAAGGCUUAAGGUCCCCAUUUUGAUUAGAUCAAAAGAGUUUUCCCCACUCCGCGCUUACGUCGGACAGUUCUCUUUAUCAUUAAUCAAAAUGAGCGGGACCAAAAGUGGAUAACCAUGGGUCAUUCCCCGCACGGGUUCCAUCUUUUGGCACCUCCUAUGGGCUUCCUAGUGCGAUCGGGGUUUUAGAUCGCAGGUUGUGUGUGUAAAUGUGUAGUGCUAAGAUAAGUAUAAAGGCACGCACAUCAAUUGAUAUCCAAACAACACUUCAAUUUCAUCCAUAUCGGCAUACAUUCCUACGCCUCCCUACAAAAGAGAUGGGUUAACAAACACUCCACCCCUUAUUACUCCAAA
RNAcentral lists this long non-coding RNA (376 nucleotides) under Eucalyptus grandis. Its description in RNAcentral is "long non-coding RNA (EGRA_LNC001996)". The record is from RNAcentral. Lineage: Eukaryota; Viridiplantae; Streptophyta; Magnoliopsida; Myrtales; Myrtaceae.